AGGCAGCAGUAGGGAUCUUCCACAAUGGACGAAAGUCUGAUGGAGCAACGCCGCGUGAGUGAAGAAGGGUUUCGGCUCGUAAAACUCUGUUGUUAAAGAAGAACAUAUCUGAGAGUAACUGUUCAGGUAUUGACGGUAUUUAACCAGAAAGCCACGGCUAACUACGUGCCAGCAGCCGCGGUAAUACGUAGGUGGCAAGCGUUGUCCGGAUUUAUUGGGCGUAAAGCGAGCGCAGGCGGUUUUUUAAGUCUGAUGUGAAAGCCUUCGGCUCAACCGAAGAAGUGCAUCGGAAACUGGGAAACUUGAGUGCAGAAGAGGACAGUGGAACUCCAUGUGUAGCGGUGAAAUGCGUAGAUAUAUGGAAGAACACCAGUGGCGAAGGCGGCUGUCUGGUCUGUAACUGACGCUGAGGCUCGAAAGUAUGGGUAGCAAACAGGAUUAGAUACCCUGGUAGUCCAUACCGUAAACGAUGAAUGCUAAGUGUUGGAGGGUUUCCGCCCUUCAGUGCUGCAGCUAACGCAUUAAGCAUUCCGCCUGGGGAGUACGGCCGCAAGGCUGAAACUCAAAGGAAUUGACGGGGGCCCGCACAAGCGGUGGAGCAUGUGGUUUAAUUCGAAGCUACGCGAAGAACCUUACCAGGUCUUGACAUACUAUGCAAAUCUAAGAGAUUAGACGUUCCCUUCGGGGACAUGGAUACAGGUGGUGCAUGGUUGUCGUCAGCUCGUGUCGUGAGAUGUUGGGUUAAGUCCCGCAACGAGCGCAACCCUUAUUAUCAGUUGCCAGCAUUAAGUUGGGCACUCUGGUGAGACUGCCGGUGACAAACCGGAGGAAGGUGGGGAUGACGUCAAAUCAUCAUGCCCCUUAUGACCUGGGCUACACACGUGCUACAAUGGAUGGUACAACGAGUUGCGAACUCGCGAGAGUAAGCUAAUCUCUUAAAGC
This 942-nucleotide ribosomal RNA is filed under the name Lactiplantibacillus plantarum. Its description in RNAcentral is "bacterial SSU rRNA". It matches the Rfam family "Bacterial small subunit ribosomal RNA", at positions 346 to 1282 of the family's 1533-position model. The record is from RNAcentral. Lineage: Bacteria; Bacillati; Bacillota; Bacilli; Lactobacillales; Lactobacillaceae.